RNAcentral lists this ribosomal RNA (547 nucleotides) under uncultured Glomus. RNAcentral describes it as "partial 18S ribosomal RNA". The record is from RNAcentral. Lineage: Eukaryota; Fungi; Glomeromycota; Glomeromycetes; Glomerales; Glomeraceae.
GUUUCCCGUAAGGCGCCGAAUGAGUCAUUAAAAAAUUAACAUCAUCCGAUCCCUAGUCGGCAUAGUUUAUGGUUAAGACUACGACGGUAUCUGAUCGUCUUCGAUCCCCUAACUUUCGUUCUUGAUUAAUGAAAACAUCCUUGGCAAAUGCUUUCGCAGUAGUUAGUCUUCAAUAAAUCCAAGAAUUUCACCUCUGACAAUUGAAUACUAAUGCCCCCAACUAUCCCUAUUAAUCAUUACGUCGAUCCUAGAAACCAACAAAAUAGAAUCAAACGUCCUAUUUCGUUAUUCCAUGCUAAUGUAUUCAAGCGUGAGCCUGCUUUAAACACUCUAAUUUUUUCAAAGUAACAGUCCUGAUUCCCCAUGACACCAAAUUAAUGACAUCAUGGUUCGUCAGAAGGUAGGAACCAAUAAUACCAGUACGUACAAUAGCACGACCAAUAAAUUGAUCCCGAAAUUCAACUACGAGCUUUUUAACUGCAACAACUUUAAUAUACGCUAUUGGAGCUGGAAUUACCGCGGCUGCUGGCACCAGACUUGCCCUCCA